This is a long non-coding RNA of Manis pentadactyla (Chinese pangolin), 450 nucleotides long. RefSeq lists it as uncharacterized. The transcript has 3 exons. Lineage: Eukaryota; Metazoa; Chordata; Mammalia; Pholidota; Manidae. The record is from RefSeq and is a predicted model, not a curated record.
UCACUAGGCCUAGUAAUUUAGGUUUGGGAGAAGUCCGAUAGGGGAGUCCUGAACCCCAAACCGUAAAUCUUGCCCUCCCCGCAUCCAGAGCUGUAUGAAAGAGCCCUGGCUUCAUUUGACCAGGUUGACAAAGAACAGGAGCCUCUUUCCAGUCAUGAAGUCUGCAAUCAGGAAUAAUGCAAACACAACCCAAGGCCCAGGAUCCAACCUGUGACCAUCUCACCUGACAAUGACUGUCCCCCUUAAACAGAAGAGGAAAUUAACUCCAUUCUAAUUAGGAAUCCCCCAGUCAUGUUUGAAGUCUGCAAGUCCAAACAGCAGACACAGCUCAGAGAGGAGACCGCCACUUAUCCAACCACCCUCCAUCCCCAGCUCCAGAAUUCUUCCCUUAUUGCCCGCUGUCUUUCAGAUCAAACAGCACAACACCACUAAACGGAUUUUUCCCCUUUC